This 1077-nucleotide ribosomal RNA is filed under the name fungal sp. genotype 651 JMUR-2016. RNAcentral's name for it is "eukaryotic LSU rRNA". The stretch from base 479 to 1077 matches the Rfam family "Eukaryotic large subunit ribosomal RNA", at positions 1 to 601 of the family's 3401-position model. Lineage: Eukaryota; Fungi. The record is from RNAcentral.
GAUCAUUACCAAAACAAUCGGGCGUUGCAAAAAUCCUCCCUUGGAGGUCACGCCACCGAUCACCCUUUGCCUACUACACCGCUCGUUAUUUCCUCGGCAGGCUCGCCUGCCGCCAGGAACCAUUCAAACCCUUGCAUACAAGUAUCUAAACCUCCGAUAACAACCCAAUUAUUUACAACUUUCAACAAUGGAUCUCUUGGUUCUGGCAUCGAUGAAGAACGCAGCGAAAUGCGAAAAGUAGUGUGAAUUGCAGAAUUCCGUGAAUCAUCGAAUCUUUGAACGCACAUUGCGCCCCUCGGUAUUCCGUGGGGCAUGCCUGUUCGAGCGUCAUUUACACCCUCAAGCUCAGCUUGGUGAUGGGCGUCUGUCCGCGUGGACUCGCCCCAAAGUCAUUGGCAGCGGUCGUGCCAGCUUCUCGCGCAGAGCAUUGCGCUCCUUGAAGCUGGUUGAUCGGCGUCCACCAAGCUCUACAUUAACUUGACCUCGGAUCAGGUAGGGAUACCCGCUGAACUUAAGCAUAUCAAUAAGCGGAGGAAAAGAAACCAACUGGGAUUGCCCUAGUAACGGCGAGUGAAGCGGCAAUAGCUCAAAUUUGAAAUCUGGCUCCUUUUAGGUGUCCGAGUUGUAAUUUGCAGAGGGUGCUUUGGCGUUGGUGGCGGUCUAAGUUCUUUGGAACAAGACAUCGCAGAGGGUGAGAAUCCCGUAUGUGGUCGCCUGCCUUCGCCGUGUAAAGCCCCUUCGACGAGUCGAGUUGUUUGGGAAUGCAGCUCUAAAUGGGAGGUAAAUUUCUUCUAAAGCUAAAUACUGGCCAGAGACCGAUAGCGCACAAGUAGAGUGAUCGAAAGAUGAAAAGCACUUUGGAAAGAGAGUCAAACAGCACGUGAAAUUGUUGAAAGGGAAGCGCUUGCAGCCAGACUUGCCCGCAGUUGCUCACCCAGGCUUUUGCCCGGGGCACUCUUCUGCGGGCAGGCCAGCAUCAGUUUGGGCGGUUGGAUAAAGGCCUCUGUCAUGUACCAACCUUCGGGUUGAACUUAUAGGGGAGGCGACAUGCAACCAGCCCGGACUGAGGACCGCGCU